Molecule: ribosomal RNA, 352 nt
Filed under: Pleurastrum insigne
Lineage: Eukaryota; Viridiplantae; Chlorophyta; Chlorophyceae; Chlamydomonadales; Pleurastraceae
Description: bacterial SSU rRNA
Rfam family: Bacterial small subunit ribosomal RNA
Source: RNAcentral
AAAGCCUGACGCAGCCAUGCCGGGUGGAUGAUGAAGGUCUUAGGAUUGUAAAUUCCUUUCACCGGGGAAGAUAAUGACUGUACCCGGAGAAGAAGCCCCGGCUAACUUCGUGCCAGCAGCCGCGGUAAUACGAAGGGGGCUAGCGUUGCUCGGAAUUACUGGGCGUAAAGGGCGCGUAGGCGGACAUUUAAGUCAGGGGUGAAAUCCCAGAGCUCAACUCUGGAACUGCCCUUGAUACUGGAUGUCUUGAGUGUGAUAGAGGUAGGUGGAACUCCGAGUGUAGCGGUGAAAUUCGUAGAUAUUCGGAAGAACACCAGUGGCAAAGGCGACGUACUGCCUCAUUACUGACGCU